Molecule: long non-coding RNA, 1673 nt
Organism: Brassica napus (rape)
Lineage: Eukaryota; Viridiplantae; Streptophyta; Magnoliopsida; Brassicales; Brassicaceae
Exons: 5
Source: RefSeq, a predicted model, not a curated record
AGUGUCCACGUAUGCAAAAAUAUUCAGACCAAUCACACUAUUGUAUUGUGCCAUGUCAGCGUUCUUCAGUCUAACCAACAGACGAUAUUGUUUUUCUUUUUGAUGACCUUUCCGAUUUCUCAUUCUUAACAGUUUAUCUAUUUUUUUUCAUUAACUUCGCCCAUGAAUCCUCUUCGACUCCUCUUUCUCUGCUCUCUCUAUAUCUAGCGAUGAAAAAACCCUAUCAAUCUCCGCCGGAAAUUAAGAUCCACUGAUUAAUCAAAAAAAAAAAAAAUUAAGAUCCACUGAAUGCGGCUUGCUUUAGUCGAUCUCAGCAAAGUACGAGAAUGUCGAGAAAACUCCUUCUGGAUCAGUCUUCGGAAAUCGUUUCUCAGCAGCUAUGUGAUGGAUGUGGCAUGUUAUUUAGAGAAUUGUCCAGAUUUGUAUUGGAAAGAUGCAUCUGCAGCCACAAGGGUCUGACAGAUUCCAUUUACCCACAUGGAAACCAGAGCUACGUACAUAGAGCUUGCUCAACAAAAGGGAAAAUGCAGUUGUAAAUACAUUUCUGGUGGUAUAUUCAAGGCUGAUCUAGACUCCUGGUUAAGAGAUCUGUCAGUUUCAACAACAAAACUCUAGAGCCCACGAUCUUAGGAUUUUGUGGUAAAAUGGUUGUUGAGAAAUCCAUUCCCUUCAAAUGGAUGCAACCGGAGAGAAUGAUCUCGCUCUGAGUUACACAUUGUUGGGAUUUUUAGAUAAAUUUCAGUUCUUGAUCUGAGGAACCCCAAACGAAGCUGCUCUUAAGUUACAUAAAUUUUACAAAAGAUUUGGUACCAGGUGAAAGCUCGCAGGCUGUGCAGUGCUCGUGGAGCAAAGGUGUUACCUGUUAGUGUUUUGAUCUCAAAACUUCUGGUGUUAUUGUGUUGUCGUGAUCUUAUGUUGUAUGAUAAAUCCCCUUUGUUUCAAUCACAGGCAGAAACUCUUAGACUUUGGUGAGGUAAAGAUAAGUUAUAUAUCAUUCUUUGAUAUCAAGAAACAUGAAACCGUGAAUUCCAGGUGGGAUCUCGAGCUUGGACAAGAGCAGAUGAGGUUGGUAAAGGUUUGUGACCUUUGACAUCGGUAUGGACAUAACCUUCAUUUUUACUAUAAGUUGCUCCACUUCCAGAGUAGAGACCUUCUACUGGUUUGAUAUUGGCAAGGAGUAAGAAGUAAAACUUGUGAAGAAGUGUCUCGGUUGAAACUUCAACAUUAAUUAAGUACCUUGGUCUGGUUAGUAUCUAUUUCUUUUUGUUGACAUGAUUAUGCUUUGUGUAUAUGGAAAGGCAAGCUUCUGAGGUUUUUCUGAAAGACGGGAAAUUCUUUUACAAGAACAGUGGAGAUAUGCUUCAAACUUCUUCUAUGAAAGAUAGUGAUCCACAAAAAUUUUGGUGCUCAGCACAUCAAAAGUAUUAUAUGUUCAGAAGAAGGGGAAGUUUUAACAGUUAAGCUUCUUAGCUGGAGGAGCUAAUGUUGCUGCAUGAAGAAUUGUUGUUUAAAAUGGUGUUCUUACGGCUGUUUGGCCAUUGUCCAUGCUUGGUAGCAAUUUUUAAUUUUAGUAUAGUAGAUCAUAUAAAAAUAUAGAUUGAAAUUAACUGUGUUGUGAGUAUUGUUUUAUAGCUAAUAAGAAAACUGUGAAAAUUUAAUUUCAAAAAGCUUCA